GCAUAUCAAUAAGCGGAGGAAAAGAAACCAACAGGGAUUGCCCCAGUAACGGCGAGUGAAGCGGCAAGAGCUCAAAUUUGAAAGCUGGCUCCUUCGGGGUCCGCAUUGUAAUUUGCAGAGGAUGUUUCGGGAGCGGCUCCCAUCUAAGUGUCCUGGAACGGACCGUCAUAGAGGGUGAGAAUCCCGUAUGGGAUGGGGUGUCCGCGCCCGUGUGAAACUCCUUCGACGAGUCGAGUUGUUUGGGAAUGCAGCUCUAAAUGGGUGGUAAAUUUCAUCUAAAGCUAAAUAUUGGCCGGAGACCGAUAGCGCACAAGUAGAGUGAUCGAAAGAUGAAAAGCACUUUGAAAAGAGAGUUAAAAAGCACGUGAAAUUGUUGAAAGGGAAGCGUUUGCGAUCAGACUCGCCUUCGGGGUUCAGCCUGCCUUCGGGCAGGUGUACUUCCCCGUCGGCGGGCCAGCGUCGGUUUGGGUGGCCGGUCAAAGGCCCUGGGAAUGUAACGCCUCUCGGGGCGUCUUAUAGCCCAGGGUGUCAUGCGGCCUACCCGGACCGAGGAACGCGCUUCGGCUCGGACGCUGGCAUAAUGGUCGUAAACGACCCGUCUUGAAACACGGACCAAGGAGUCUAACAUCUAUGCGAGUGUUCGGGUGUCAAACCCGUGCGCGAAGUGAAAGCGAACGGAGGUGGGAACCCUUUGGGUGCACCAUCGACCGAUCCUGAUGUCUUCGGAUGGAUUUGAGUAAGAGCAUAGCUGUUGGGACCCGAAAGAUGGUGAACUAUGCCUGAAUAGGGCGAAGCCAGAGGAAACUCUGGUGGAGGCUCGCAGCGGUUCUGACGUGCAAAUCGAUCGUCAAAUUUGGGUAUAGGGGCGAAAGACUAAUCGAACCAUCUAGUAGCUGGUUCCUGCG
RNAcentral lists this ribosomal RNA (905 nucleotides) under Penicillium sclerotiorum. RNAcentral's name for it is "LSU rRNA". It matches the Rfam family "Eukaryotic large subunit ribosomal RNA", at positions 38 to 962 of the family's 3401-position model. The record is from RNAcentral. Lineage: Eukaryota; Fungi; Ascomycota; Eurotiomycetes; Eurotiales; Aspergillaceae.